GCAAGUCGAACGGCAGCGCGACCUUUCUUUCGGGAUUGGUUGGCGGCGAGUGGCGGACGGGUGAGUAACGCGUAGGAAUCUACCUUCAAGCGGGGGACAACCUGAGGAAACUCGGGCUAAUACCGCAUGUGCUCUACGGAGUAAAGCUGGGGACCCUUUGGGGCCUGGCACUUGAAGAUGAGCCUGCGUCAGAUUAGCUUGUUGGUGGGGUAAAGGCCCACCAAGGCGACGAUCUGUAGCUGGUUUGAGAGAAUGAUCAGCCACACUGGGACUGAGACACGGCCCAGACUCCUACGGGAGGCAGCAGUGGGGAAUAUUGGACAAUGGGCGAAAGCCUGAUCCAGCAAUACCGCGUGUGCGAUGAAGGCUCUAGGGUCGUAAAGCACUUUCAGUAGCGAAGAAAGUUAGAAAGUUAAUAGCUAUCUGACCUGACGUUAGCUACAGAAGAAGCACCGGCUAACUCUGUGCCAGCAGCCGCGGUAAGACAGAGGGUGCAAGCGUUAAUCGGAAUUACUGGGCGUAAAGAGCGCGUAGGUGGAAAUUUAAGUCAGAUGUGAAAGCCCUGGGCUCAACCUAGGAACUGCAUUUGAUACUGAAUUUCUUGAGUAUGGUAGAGGAAAGUGGAAUUUCCGGUGUAGGGGUGAAAUCCAUAGAUAUCGGAAGGAACACCAGUGGCGAAGGCGGCUUUCUGGACCAAUACUGACACUGAGGCGCGAAAGCGUGGGUAGCAAACAGGAUUAGAUACCCUGGUAGUCCACGCCGUAAACGAUGAGAACUUGGUGUUGGAGUCUAACUUCAGUGCCGGAGCUAACGCGUUAAGUUCUCCGCCUGGGGAGUACGGCCGCAAGGCUAAACUCAAAGGAAUUGACGGGGGCCCGCACAGUGUGCAGCAUGUGUUAAUUCGAUGCAACGCGAAGAACCUUACCUACCCUUGACAUCUUCGGAGACUCUAGUAGUAAAGUUGUGCCUUCGGAAACCGAAUGACAGUGCUGCAUGCUGUCGUCAGCUCGUGUCGUGAGAUGUAGGUUAAGUCCUUACCGAGCGCACCCCUGGUCUUAGUUGCCAGCACGUAUGGUGAACUCUAGGGAAACUGGCCGGUGAUAACGAGAGCGGGAACGAUGUCCAGGUCAGCAUGGCCCUUACGGUAAGGCUAACACACUGGCUAAUUGGCAGAUACAAAGUGCUAACCCGGGAGUGAACUUAUUCUCUAUAAGACUGUCCUCCUCCGAUUCG
Molecule: ribosomal RNA, 1233 nt
Filed under: uncultured Gammaproteobacteria bacterium
Lineage: Bacteria; Pseudomonadati; Pseudomonadota; Gammaproteobacteria
Description: partial 16S ribosomal RNA
Rfam family: Bacterial small subunit ribosomal RNA
Source: RNAcentral